GCCAGCCCGCUCAGAACUUAAAUGAAUUGACGGGGGCCCGCACAAGCGGUGGAGUAUGUGGUUUAAUUCGAUGCAACGCGAAGAACCUUACCUGGUCUUGACAUCCCGGAGACCCUUAGGAAACUAGGGGGUGCUUCCAUCUGGAAGAAUCUGGAGACAGGUGCUGCAUGGCUGUCGUCAGCUCGUGUCGUGAGAUGUUGGGUUAAGUCCCGCAACGAGCGCAACCCUUGCCUUUAGUUGCCAGCAGUUCGGCUGGGCACUCUAAAGGGACUGCCGGUGUUAAACCGGAGGAAGGUGGGGAUGACGUCAAGUCCUCAUGGCCUUUAUGACCAGGGCUACACACGUACUACAAUGGCCGAUACAAAGGGCAGCGACACUGCGAGGUGAAGCCAAUCCCGUAAAAUCGGUCUCAGUCCGGAUUGGAGUCUGCAACUCGACUCCAUGAAGUUGGAAUCGCUAGUAAUCGUGGACCAGCAUGCCACGGUGAAUACGUUCCCGGGCCUU
This 504-nucleotide ribosomal RNA is filed under the name uncultured Desulfobulbus sp. RNAcentral describes it as "bacterial SSU rRNA". It matches the Rfam family "Bacterial small subunit ribosomal RNA", at positions 903 to 1382 of the family's 1533-position model. The record is from RNAcentral. Lineage: Bacteria; Pseudomonadati; Thermodesulfobacteriota; Desulfobulbia; Desulfobulbales; Desulfobulbaceae.